Small nucleolar RNA from Ipomoea triloba (trilobed morning glory), 107 nucleotides. NCBI's taxonomy places the organism in Eukaryota, Viridiplantae, Streptophyta, Magnoliopsida, Solanales, Convolvulaceae. The record is from RefSeq and is a predicted model, not a curated record.
AAGCAAUGAUGGGUGCAUAUUCUCAAUAGCUCCUUCUACAUCUCCUAAGCAUCAUAAAUGCUCUCAGAUUCCAUCUGAGUGAAAGAAGAGAUAUCAUUCCACAACUU